Molecule: ribosomal RNA, 402 nt
Filed under: uncultured prokaryote
Description: bacterial SSU rRNA
Rfam family: Bacterial small subunit ribosomal RNA
Source: RNAcentral
UGGGGAAUAUUGCACAAUGGGGGAAACCCUGAUGCAGCAACGCCGCGUGAGUGAAGAAGUAUUUCGGUAUGUAAAGCUCUAUCAGCAGGGAAGAAAGUGACGGUACCUGACUAAGAAGCCCCGGCUAACUACGUGCCAGCAGCCGCGGUAAUACGUAGGGGGCAAGCGUUAUCCGGAUUUACUGGGUGUAAAGGGAGCGUAGACGGCACAGCAAGUCUGAAGUGAAAUCCCCGGGCUCAACACGGGAACUGCUUUGGAAACUGCUGGGCUGGAGUGCUGGAGAGGCAAGCGGAAUUCCUAGUGUAGCGGUGAAAUGCGUAGAUAUUAGGAGGAACACCAGUGGCGAAGGCGGCUUGCUGGACAGUAACUGACGUUGAGGCUCGAAAGCGUGGGGAGCAAACA